ACAUCCAGCGAAUUCGGUAGAGAUACCUUAGUGCCUUCGGGAACGCUGAGACAGGUGCUGCAUGGCUGUCGUCAGCUCGUGUUGUGAAAUGUUGGGUUAAGUCCCGCAACGAGCGCAACCCUUAUCCUUUGUUGCCAGCGGUCCGGCCGGGAACUCAAAGGAGACUGCCAGUGAUAAACUGGAGGAAGGUGGGGAUGACGUCAAGUCAUCAUGGCCCUUACGAGUAGGGCUACACACGUGCUACAAUGGCGCAUACAAAGAGAAGCGACCUCGCGAGAGCAAGCGGACCUCAUAAAGUGCGUCGUAGUCCGGAUUGGAGUCUGCAACUCGACUCCAUGAAGUCGGAAUCGCUAGUAAUCGUAGAUCAGAAUGCUACGGUGAAUACGUUCCCGGGCCUUGUACACACCGCCCGUCACACCAUGGGAGUGGGUUGCAAAAGAAGUAGGUAGCUUAACCUUCGGGAGGGCGCUUACCACUUUGUGAUUCAUGACUGGGGUGAAGUCGUAACAAGGUAGGCGUAGUGCU
This 525-nucleotide ribosomal RNA is filed under the name uncultured bacterium. RNAcentral's name for it is "bacterial SSU rRNA". It matches the Rfam family "Bacterial small subunit ribosomal RNA", at positions 984 to 1509 of the family's 1533-position model. The record is from RNAcentral.